Molecule: ribosomal RNA, 515 nt
Filed under: uncultured microorganism
Description: bacterial SSU rRNA
Rfam family: Bacterial small subunit ribosomal RNA
Source: RNAcentral
GAGUUUGAUCAUGGCUCAGGAUGAACGCUGGCGGCGUGCUUAACACAUGCAAGUCGAACGAAGCGCCUUAUUUGAUUUUCUUCGGAACUGAAGAUUUGGUGACUGAGUGGCGGACGGGUGAGUAACGCGUGGGGUAACCUGCCCUGUACAGGGGGAUAACAAUCAGAAAUGACUGCUAAUACCGCACAAGACCACAGCACCGCAUGGUGCAGGGGUAAAAACUCCGGUGGUACAGGAUGGACCCGCGUCUGAUUAGCUGGUUGGUGAGGUAACGGCUCACCAAGGCGACGAUCAGUAGCCGGCUUGAGAGAGUGAACGGCCACAUUGGGACUGAGACACGGCCCAAACUCCUACGGAGGCAGCAGUGGGGAAUAUUGCACAAUGGGGGAAACCCUGAUGCAGCAACGCCGCGUGAGUGAAGAAGUAUUUCGGUGUGUAAAAGCUCUAUCAGCAGGGAAGAAAGUGACGGUACCUGACUAAGAAGCCCCGGCUAACUACGUGCCAGCAGCCGCGGU